GACAGAGGGUGCAAACGUUGCUCGGAAUUACUGGGCGUAAAGCGCGUGUAGGUGGACCGGUAAGUCAGAUGUGAAAGCCCUGGGCUCAACCCAGGAAUUGCAUUUGUAAACUAGCCGGCCUUGAGUGGUGGAGAGGGAAGCGGAAUUCCUGGUGUAGAGGUGAAAUUCGUAGAUAUCAGGAGGAACACCGGUGGCGAAGGCGGCUUCCUGGACACCAACUGACACUGAGACGCGAAAGCGUGGGGAGCAAACAGGAUUAGAAACCCCUGUAGU
Molecule: ribosomal RNA, 273 nt
Filed under: uncultured bacterium
Lineage: Bacteria
Description: partial 16S ribosomal RNA
Rfam family: Bacterial small subunit ribosomal RNA
Source: RNAcentral